This 255-nucleotide long non-coding RNA is filed under the name Medicago truncatula (barrel medic). Its description in RNAcentral is "long non-coding RNA (MTRU_LNC008020)". Lineage: Eukaryota; Viridiplantae; Streptophyta; Magnoliopsida; Fabales; Fabaceae. The record is from RNAcentral.
UUGUUGUUUGUCGUUGUCCAUGUCUUUGUUGCUGUUUUUGUUUUGUCGUGAAUGAGGUGGCGCCGUUUCAUGUUCAUGAUUAUACCAUUGACUGCGGUGGCAUACAUUUUUUCUUCGGUUGGGGGAGCAUGUGUGAGUGAUGCCGUUUUUCUUGAAAAAUCUAUUCCAAUCAAGUCAGUCACAACUCACAACACAUGUAUAUUUAUGAGAUAUUUUAUAACUAAUUUACAAAUGAAUAUUGAUAUGCGGAUAACA